This 708-nucleotide ribosomal RNA is filed under the name Pseudomonas sp. RNAcentral's name for it is "bacterial SSU rRNA". It matches the Rfam family "Bacterial small subunit ribosomal RNA", at positions 33 to 740 of the family's 1533-position model. Lineage: Bacteria; Pseudomonadati; Pseudomonadota; Gammaproteobacteria; Pseudomonadales; Pseudomonadaceae. The record is from RNAcentral.
AGGCUGGGCGGAGCUACACAUGCAGUCGAGCGGUAGAGAGAAGCUUGCUUCUCUUGAGAGCGGCGGACGGGUGAGUAAUGCCUAGGAAUCUGCCUGGUAGUGGGGGAUAACGUUCGGAAACGGACGCUAAUACCGCAUACGUCCUACGGGAGAAAGCAGGGGACCUUCGGGCCUUGCGCUAUCAGAUGAGCCUAGGUCGGAUUAGCUAGUUGGUGAGGUAAUGGCUCACCAAGGCUACGAUCCGUAACUGGUCUGAGAGGAUGAUCAGUCACACUGGAACUGAGACACGGUCCAGACUCCUACGGGAGGCAGCAGUGGGGAAUAUUGGACAAUGGGCGAAAGCCUGAUCCAGCCAUGCCGCGUGUGUGAAGAAGGUCUUCGGAUUGUAAAGCACUUUAAGUUGGGAGGAAGGGCAGUUACCUAAUACGUGAUUGUUUUGACGUUACCGACAGAAUAAGCACCGGCUAACUCUGUGCCAGCAGCCGCGGUAAUACAGAGGGUGCAAGCGUUAAUCGGAAUUACUGGGCGUAAAGCGCGCGUAGGUGGUUUGUUAAGUUGGAUGUGAAAUCCCCGGGCUCAACCUGGGAACUGCAUUCAAAACUGACUGACUAGAGUAUGGUAGAGGGUGGUGGAAUUUCCUGUGUAGCGGUGAAAUGCGUAGAUAUAGGAAGGAACACCAGUGGCGAAGGCGACCACCUGGACUAAUAC